RNAcentral lists this ribosomal RNA (404 nucleotides) under Verrucomicrobiota bacterium. RNAcentral describes it as "Verrucomicrobia bacterium partial 16S ribosomal RNA". It matches the Rfam family "Bacterial small subunit ribosomal RNA", at positions 355 to 776 of the family's 1533-position model. The record is from RNAcentral. Lineage: Bacteria; Pseudomonadati; Verrucomicrobiota.
UGGGGAAUAUUGCACAAUGGGGGAAACCCUGAUGCAGCGACGCCGCGUGAGCGAUGAAGGCUUUCGAGUCGUAAAGCUCUGUCCUAUGGGAAGAUAAUGACGGUACCAUAGAAGAAAGCCCCGGCUAAUUACGUGCCAGCAGCCACGGUAAUACGUAAGGGGCGAGCGUUGUCCGGAAUUAUUGGGCGUAAAGAGUGCGUAGGCGGCAAAUUAAGUCAGAUGUGAAAACUAAGGGCUCAACCCAUAGAUUGCAUCUGAAACUGAUAUGCUUGAGUCAAGGAGAGGAAAGUGGAAUUCCUAGUGUAGCGGUGGAAUGCGUAGAUAUUAGGAGGAAUACCGGUGGCGAAGGCGACUUUCUGGACUUGAACUGACGCUGAGGCACGAAAGCGUGGGGAGCAAACAGG